AUUGAACGCUGGCGGCAGGCCUAACACAUGCAAGUCGAGCGGAUGAAGGGAGCUUGCUCCUGGAUUCAGCGUCGGACGGGUGAGUAAUGCCUAGGAAUCUGCCUGGUAGUGGGGGAUAACGUCCGGAAACGGGCGCUAAUACCGCAUACGUCCUGAGGGAGAAAGUGGGGGAGCUUCGGACCUCAGGCUAUCAGAUGAGCCUAGGUCGGAUUAGCUAGUUGGUGGGGUAAAGGCCUACCAAGGCGACGAUCCGUAACUGGUCUGAGAGGAUGAUCAGUCACACUGGAACUGAGACACGGUCCAGACUCCUACGGGAGGCAGCAGUGGGGAAUAUUGGACAAUGGGCGAAAGCCUGAUCCAGCCAUGCCGCGUGUGUGAAGAAGGUCUUCGGAUUGUAAAGCACUUUAAGUUGGGAGGAAGGGCAGUAAGUUAAUACCUUGCUGUUUUGACGUUACCAACAGAAUAAGCACCGGCUAACUUCGUG
Molecule: ribosomal RNA, 484 nt
Filed under: uncultured bacterium
Lineage: Bacteria
Description: partial 16S ribosomal RNA
Rfam family: Bacterial small subunit ribosomal RNA
Source: RNAcentral